This 693-nucleotide unclassified non-coding RNA is filed under the name Hevea brasiliensis (rubber tree). Lineage: Eukaryota; Viridiplantae; Streptophyta; Magnoliopsida; Malpighiales; Euphorbiaceae. The record is from RNAcentral.
GGAAUUGCCGGUGGGGUUUCAAGCAUUGGUACUAAUUUAUCUGCUUUUCCUGCUUCUGGGUUCACUACAAUAAAUAAUAACAACAAUGGGAAUGGGAAGGUUGGCUCUGGGUUAGUUACUCCUCCCUCUUCUUCUGGUGGGUUGGCUAAUUAUAGAGGUGUUGGAUUGGGAAGCAACAACAACAGUAACUGCAGUAUACAAGGCCCAAUUUUCGGUUCUCCAGCUAGCAGUGUUUCUCUUCCGGCUACUUUUCCUCAUGGAAUGCUCUAUCAUCAUAAUCUGCAACACCAAAUUGAAGCUCCGGAGGAGAAGCCGCAGAUACUAAAUCCACAGAUGUUAAUGAACCAGCAACAGCCUCAUAAUCCACACCCUCAAAACCCAAACAUUUUCUUGCCAUUAUCGUUUCCUCAGCAAGAAAAUCACCUCCUUCAGCCCCAACCAAAGCGCCAGAACUCCGUUGGCAUAGACCCACUGUCUCAGAUGGUCCCCAAGCUUCCAUUCGGCGAUCCCGGGCAUGAGUUACUGCUAAGAAGACAGCAGCAGCAACAACAGCAUCUGGGAUUUCCACAAGGAGUGCAGUUUCUUCAUCCGCAUCUUCAACAGAAGCCAUUGCUGGUAAAGAAGGAAGAAGUAGGAGCCCAACAGGAACAACAACAGCACCAACAUGCGUUGCUGGACCAGCUCUACAAGGCA